Molecule: long non-coding RNA, 1100 nt
Filed under: Hordeum vulgare
Lineage: Eukaryota; Viridiplantae; Streptophyta; Magnoliopsida; Poales; Poaceae
Description: long non-coding RNA (HVUL_LNC017282)
Source: RNAcentral
UUGCAGUGGGUCAAUCUCGCUCAUGUCCGGGCCUACCACUCCCAUGGAGCGCUCCUAGCCGUUGAUCGUCCACAAGCAUGACAUGCUCAGUAAUCUGACCUGUUUCACUUUUCCAGCCAUCCAUUUGUGGGGUUUCUAGUGGUAAUUUAACAAAAGAAAUGAAGCACCUAUUUUUUUUGUAAGGCGGUGCAAACUGGCUGCUAGAAGGCCGUAUCUCUUUUUUCCAGAUCAUAGAAGGUUCUAACUAGUAGUCCAAUAAAGUCAUGUUGCCUCCCCGAUAGCUACUCGAGAUCGGUUUCACCAAGACUGUGACCAUCUCUUUCAUGGUGGACGACCCAGCCCGGCAGGUUAAUUGGACUGUAUCGCAUAAGCCCUAGACUGGGCAUAACUCAUGUUGCCAUAGAGCUCACAGUGUAUGGUACAAGGACAUCAUGUUGAUCCAAGUGUUUCCGUGCCAACAUCUUAUGUUCUAACGGGUAACAAAUCUGCUAAGACAUAUAUUCGAGUUAAGCACUAGCUUGCACAUCCCCUAACUCAACUAUACUAAAAAAAUGUUAACCCCACUCCUUAAAACCAACCCCAGAUGACUAUAUUCGGUCCAGCCGUGGCAUGUAGAACGAAAGUAGGAAGGUGGCUGCACCACCUUGCGUCACACCGUUGCCACUGGAGCCCGUGCUGCAGGACAUCCGCUGCCUCGAUGUCCCUUGCCGUCCAGAAUGACGAUGGCUUCUCGCACGCGUCCACACGUCCUUCCCGUCCAAACAUGGCUCUUAAACUAUGGCGACAUUGACGAGCAAGCCCCAUGAGCGUCUUCCCCUUCCUUGCUGAGCACGGUCCAAUAUACAGAGGCUGGCACUCUUGGAGCUGACCUGCUCUUACACGGUCCCUGACAAAAAGUAUCUGCAUUUUGGACACCAUCUUCUUCAUCUGGUUCGAGCUCAAAGAUGCAAGCGUCAUUGACCCGAAACGGAAAAACCACUUGUUGACACAAAAGAUUAUCUACGUGGAAUCAUGUCCAAUUGUGCACUUGAUCGGCUUAGAUACAUUUAAUUUCUGAUGUCUCAUAUUCUCAAGCUAAUCAUCGUUCCCCUUUCCUUUUC